UACAGAGGGUGCGAGCGUUGUCCGGAAUCACUGGGCGUAAAGGGCGCGUAGGUGGUGGCUUAAGCGUGCGGUGAAAGCUCGGGGCUCAACUCCGAGUCGGCCGUGCGAACUGCUGGGCUUGAGCACUGUAGAGGCAGGCGGAAUUCCGGGUGUAGCGGUGGAAUGCGUAGAGAUCCGGAAGAACACCGGUGGCGAAGGCGGCCUGCUGGGCAGUAACUGACGCUGAGGAGCGAAAGCGUGGGGAGCGAACAGG
RNAcentral lists this ribosomal RNA (253 nucleotides) under uncultured bacterium. Its description in RNAcentral is "partial 16S ribosomal RNA". It matches the Rfam family "Bacterial small subunit ribosomal RNA", at positions 524 to 776 of the family's 1533-position model. The record is from RNAcentral.